CCUACGGGGGGCGGCAAUUAGGAAUCUUGCGCAAUGGGCGAAAGCCUGACGCAGCGACGUCGCGUGACCGAUGAAGUCUUUCGGGAUGUAAAGGUCUUUUUUGGGGGAAGAAGGAUGUGACGGUACCCCAAGAAUAAGCCCCGGCUAACUACGUGCCAGCAGCCCCGGUC
Molecule: ribosomal RNA, 170 nt
Filed under: uncultured bacterium
Lineage: Bacteria
Description: partial 16S rRNA
Rfam family: Bacterial small subunit ribosomal RNA
Source: RNAcentral